RNAcentral lists this ribosomal RNA (440 nucleotides) under uncultured bacterium. RNAcentral's name for it is "partial 16S ribosomal RNA". It matches the Rfam family "Bacterial small subunit ribosomal RNA", at positions 338 to 795 of the family's 1533-position model. The record is from RNAcentral.
CCUACGGGAGGCAGCAGUAGGGAAUAUUGCUCAAUGGGGGAAACCCUGAAGCAGCAACGCCGCGUGGAGGAUGAAGGUUUUCGGAUUGUAAACCCCUUUUGUUAGAGAAGAUAAUGACGGUACCUAACGAAUAAGCACCGGCUAACUCCGUGCCAGCAGCCGCGGUAAAACGGCAGGUGCAAGCGUUACGCGGAAUCACUGGGCGUAAAGGGCGCGUAGGCGGGAUAGCAAGUCAGGUGUGAAAACCUAGGGCUUAACCCUAGAACUGCAUUUGAAACUGUUAUUCUAGAGUAUCGGAGAGGUAGGUGGAAUGCUUGGUGUAGGGGUAAAAUCCAUAGAGAUCAAGAAGAAUACUCAUUGCGAAGGCGACCUACUAGCACAUAACUGACGCUGAUGCGCGAAAGCGUGGGGAGCGAACAGGAUUAGAUACCCCAGUAGUC